This 73-nucleotide transfer RNA is filed under the name Symploca sp. SIO1B1. RNAcentral's name for it is "tRNA-Lys". It matches the Rfam family "tRNA". Rfam says of the family: Transfer RNA (tRNA) molecules are approximately 80 nucleotides in length. RNAcentral also lists the same sequence under 2 other names. The record is from RNAcentral. Lineage: Bacteria; Bacillati; Cyanobacteriota; Cyanophyceae; Coleofasciculales; Coleofasciculaceae.
GGGAAUGUAGCUCAAUCGGCAGAGCAGGUGACUCUUAAUCACUUGGUUGCGGGUUCAAUUCCUGCCAUUCCCA